RNAcentral lists this ribosomal RNA (447 nucleotides) under uncultured bacterium. RNAcentral describes it as "SSU rRNA". It matches the Rfam family "Bacterial small subunit ribosomal RNA", at positions 26 to 518 of the family's 1533-position model. The record is from RNAcentral.
AGGAUGAACGCUGGCGGCGUGCCUAAAACAUGCAAGUCAUACGGGCUACCUUCGGGUAGCCAGUGGCAAACGGGUGAGUAACACGUGGGAACGCGCCUUGGGUGGGGAAUAACGCUGAGAAAUCAGUGCUAAUACCGCAUACGGUCUAACGACUAAAGCAGCAAUGCGCCCCGAGAGCGGCCCGCGACCGAUUAGCUAGUUGGUGGGGUAAUGGCCUACCAAGGCGGUGAUCGGUAGCUGGUCUGAGAGGAUGGUCAGCCACACUGGGACUGCGAACGGCCCAGACUCCUACGGGAGGCAGCAGUUAGGAAUUUUCGGCAAUGGACGAAAGUCUGACCGAGCGACGCCGCGUGGAGGAUGACGCCUUUCGGGGUGUAAACUCCUUUCUGCGGGAAGAUAAUGACGUACGCAGGAAUAAGCACCGGCUAACUACGCGCCAGCAGCCGC